RNAcentral lists this ribosomal RNA (239 nucleotides) under Catolechia wahlenbergii. RNAcentral describes it as "partial 18S ribosomal RNA". Lineage: Eukaryota; Fungi; Ascomycota; Lecanoromycetes; Rhizocarpales; Rhizocarpaceae. The record is from RNAcentral.
UUCAGCCGCGACCGAAAAGAAAGUGCUCCAGUGGGGUCAGUGGGGCCCUGCAACGCCGUUAGACUGUGCCGGGAAGUCCCGGGGGCUCAUCCGCCCCGGGACCACCGGCAGCUCCCUCUGUGGGGGGGCGUCCACAGAUCAAAUGACGGUGGCCACCGAUGUGGUUCAGACAUGAUCGGCCCCGGCUGUGGACGGCCGUGGAUGUUGCGUUCCGUAGGUGAACCUGCGGAAGGAUCAUU